UAAGCCACGAAAGAGGCGCGGCACACAGCUCAGUAACACGUGGCUAACCUGCCCUCGGGACGGGAAUACCCCCGGGAAACUGGGGCUAAUUCCCGAUAGGCGAAGAACUCUGGAAUGAGUCUCCACUCAAAAGACGCUAAAGUCAUGCUCUUUGGCGUCGCCCAAGGAUGGGGCCGCGACCGAUCAGGUAGUUGGUGAGGUAAUGGCUCACCAAGCCUUUUACCGGUGCGGGCCGUGGGAGCGGGAGCCCGGAGAUGGGCACUGAGACAAGGGCCCAGGCCCUACGGGGCGCAGCAGUCGCGAAAACUUUGCAAUACACGAAAGUGUGACAGGGCUAUCCCGAGUGCCAUCCGCUGAGGAAGGCUUUUACCCAGUAUAGAAAGCUGGGGGAAUAAGGGGAGGGCAAGUCUGGUGUCAGCCGCCGCGGUAAUACCAGCUCUCCGAGUGGUGUGGAUGUUUAUUGGGCCUAAAGCAUCCGUAGCUGGCUGGACAAGUCCCCUGUUAAAUCCACCGAAUUAAUCGUUGGAUUGCGGGGGAUACUGUUCGGCUAGGGGACGGGAGAGGCCGACGGUAUUCUCGGGGUAGGGGUGAAAUCCUAUAAUCCCGGGAAGACCACCAGUGGCGAAGGCUGUCGGCUAGAACGCGCCCGACGGUGAGGGAUGAAAGCUGGGGGAGCGAACCGGAUUAGAUACCCGGGUAGUCU
Molecule: ribosomal RNA, 703 nt
Filed under: uncultured marine archaeon
Lineage: Archaea
Description: bacterial SSU rRNA
Rfam family: Archaeal small subunit ribosomal RNA
Source: RNAcentral